RNAcentral lists this ribosomal RNA (544 nucleotides) under uncultured Glomeromycotina. RNAcentral describes it as "SSU rRNA". It matches the Rfam family "Eukaryotic small subunit ribosomal RNA", at positions 548 to 1098 of the family's 1831-position model. The record is from RNAcentral. Lineage: Eukaryota; Fungi; Glomeromycota.
UUGGAGGGCAAGUCUGGUGCCAGCAGCCGCGGUAAUUCCAGCUCCAAUAGCGUAUAUUAAAGUUGUUGCAGUUAAAAAGCUCGUAGUUGAAUUUCGGGGUUCUACCGUUGGUCGGGCUUUGUCUGUACUGGUGUGUAGAAUUUCUACCUUCUGGGGAACCAUCAUGCUAUUAAUUUAGCGUGGUGGGAAACCAGGACCUUUACCUUGAAAAAAUUAGUGUGUUCAAAGCAGGCUUAUGUCUGAAUACAUUAGCGUGGAAUAAUAGAAUAGGACGGUGGUCCUGUUUUGUUGGUUUCUGAAUCACCGUAAUGAUUAAUAGGGAUAGUUGGGGGCAUUAGUAUUCAAUUGUCAGAGGUGAAAUUCUUGGAUUUAUUGAAGACUAACUUCUGCGAAAGCAUUUGCCAAGGAUGUUUUCAUUAAUCAAGAACGAAAGUUAGGGGAUCGAAGACGAUCAGAUACCGUCGUAGUCUUAACCAUAAACCAUGCCGACUAGGGAUCAGACGAUGUUAAUUUUUCUUGACUCGUUCGGCGCCUUACGGGAAAC